GACGAACGCUGGCGGCGUGCUUAACACAUGCAAGUCGAACGGAAAGGCCCUGCUUUUUUGGUGUUCUCGAGUGGCGAACGGGUGCGUAACACGUGAGUAACCUGCCCUUGACUUUGGGAUAACUUCAGGAAACUGGGGCUAAUACCGGAUAGGAUCUCCUGCUGCAUGGUGGGGGUUGGAAAGUUUCGGCGGUUGGGGAUGGACUCGCGGCUUAUCAGCUUGUUGGUGGGGUAGUGGCUUACCAAGGAUUUGACGGGUAGCCGGCCUGAGAGGGUGACCGGCCACAUUGGGACUGAGAUACGGCCCAGACUCCUACGGGGGGCAGCAGUGGGGAAUAUUGCACAAUGGGCGGAAGCCUGAUGCAGCAACGCCGCGUGCGGGAUGACGGCCUUCGGGUUGUAAACCGCUUUAGCCUGUGACGAAGCGUGAGUGACGGUAAUGGGUAAAGAAGCACCGGCUAACUACGUG
RNAcentral lists this ribosomal RNA (468 nucleotides) under uncultured bacterium. RNAcentral's name for it is "partial 16S ribosomal RNA". It matches the Rfam family "Bacterial small subunit ribosomal RNA", at positions 28 to 507 of the family's 1533-position model. The record is from RNAcentral.